RNAcentral lists this ribosomal RNA (498 nucleotides) under uncultured bacterium. RNAcentral's name for it is "bacterial SSU rRNA". It matches the Rfam family "Bacterial small subunit ribosomal RNA", at positions 28 to 507 of the family's 1533-position model. The record is from RNAcentral.
GAUGAACGCUGGCGGCGUGCCUAAUACAUGCAAGUCGAGCGAACAGACGAGGAGCUUGCUCCUCUGACGUUAGCGGCGGACGGGUGAGUAACACGUGGAUAACCUACCUAUAAGACUGGGAUAACUUCGGGAAACCGGAGCUAAUACUGGAUAAUAUAUUGAACCGCAUGGUUCAAUAGUGAAAGACGGUUUUGCUGUCACUUAUAGAUGGAUCCGCGCCGCAUUAGCUAGUUGGUAAGGUAACGGCUUACCAAGGCAACGAUGCGUAGCCGACCUGAGAGGGUGAUCGGCCACACUGGAACUGAGACACGGUCCAGACUCCUACGGGAGGCAGCAGUAGGGAAUCUUCCGCAAUGGGCGAAAGCCUGACGGAGCAACGCCGCGUGAGUGAUGAAGGUCUUCGGAUCGUAAAACUCUGUUAUUAGGGAAGAACAAAUGUGUAAGUAACUAUGCACGUCUUGACGGUACCUAAUCAGAAAGCCACGGCUAACUAACGUG